Long non-coding RNA from Gasterosteus aculeatus aculeatus (three-spined stickleback), 1853 nucleotides. Lineage: Eukaryota; Metazoa; Chordata; Actinopteri; Perciformes; Gasterosteidae. The record is from Ensembl.
ACCAGCGCUCUGCAUUAUGGGUUGACCGAUUCAGGUUCGUCACGUGUGAGGGGAUGAGUACAUUAACGAUAUUUGUUUCUUUUUUUGUUACAUUGUUUUAAUGGAUAUUGAAGUCUGCAUUAACAAGGUCAGAUACAAAUAACAAACUCUGCUGGCAGUUAUUGGUUGAAAAGAUCCUCCUGCACCACCACCAGCCGUCUGCACUGGAUGAUCUGAAAAAAACAAACUUGCAUAAAUCAAAGCCUCUUUGUUGGAAAAAGAGAUGGACUGUUAUUUGCAUCCUUUUUUUCUUUCAAUUUGUCUGAUAUAAAGUCGAACGUCCUUCCCGCCUCCAUAAAUCCUGAGACACUAACAAAGUGAAGGAGCAUCCAAAUCAGCUCAUUGCAGCGGCAGUCGAUGGCCGCUCUCUCAAGGACGCUGAUUGACGUUUUAUACAGCUUCUGCAGAGGAUGAGCCAGGUGGAGGUUUACGUGAACUGCCGAUACGAUCAGAGCUGGGGAGCAGAUGCGAGGCUGGGAAACGGUGGCAGUUCACUGGAGUUGAAUUGUACCCCGGAGAGGAGGAAGUGAAGUUUUUCUAUCAGAUGGAAAGAUCAGAGGAGACGGAUAAUUCAGUAAUCACAUCUCCAGCGAUUAGGGGGGACAGGAGGCGGGUUGCCGAUAAGGAACUGUGGGCUUCACGGACGUUCUGUUCGGUUAAUAGGAAACCGAAAAAGACUCAACGCCUUAUUUUCCCAGUGGUAUCUGCUUCUUUUAUCACACCACUUUAUGAUUUCUCACCUUGUCUCAUUGGGUCGUCUGAUCUCAUCUCAUUUACUAAAGGGUCGGUGAACCUGUCAGCGAAUCAAAACCAACUUCUGUGUGUGCUUCAUCUGGGUACGGUUGUAUCUUCUCAUCUCGUCUCAUUCCUGAUGACUUACAUUAGUUUUUUGACCCAUCUCGUCCUCAUAAUCCUGUUUCAUUCAUGCGGUAACAGAUGAAAACAACGCCCAGGCCUAUAAAAAAUGAUCUUUUUGGUCAUGUUUUAUUCUCCAAAGAAAUGUCAACAUCCUGAGUAAGACAGCCUAACCCAAGGGACAAUAGUAGAAAUUGUUUAAAUAUAAAUCCUGGUGCUCCUUCUGUCACGGUUUGGGUUUGUUUCCUUUCUUAUUUUGUAGUUUUCUGCCUCUUGUGUCCCUGGGUAACUUCACUUCCUGCCUUGUCCUGUCAUCCCCUGUGAUUGUCUGAUUGUUUCCACCUGUGUCCAAUCACCUGCACCUGCACCAUGUGUAUUUAAGUCAUGUGUGUCGCUUGUCCCUUGUCGCUCAUUGUUGACUGUUUUGGAUGUUCCUGUCUGCAUUUUUUGCCCCUGGCCCUUUUGGAUUUUGACUAUUAAAGUCUUUUUGUUUUUGAAAGUCUGCGUUUGAGUCCUGCCUUCUCUGUCUGAACAAGACUUUUCAAGGAUUACUCAUAUUUUUCCACCUGAUGAACACUCCAUAUCCUGACAUCAUAUCUGUAAGUCACAAACCGUUGUCAAUGCCACCUGACGAGCAUGACGAGUCCUCUGACUCUCUCUAUCCAAGUGGGUAAAAGCCUGACGUGUAUAUGUGCACACGGACACACAAGCGCACCAUGUCUUGUUGGCCUGUGAGAUCUUAUCACGGACAUUGAAAUGAGAUGAGACAAUGUGAGUAUCUGCUUCCUGUGUUUGUGUGUGGUUGGGAUGCAUGGGUCUCAUGCAGUAUCAUGUUAAAGUUGAGCGUCUGCUGUCUGCAGAGUCGCCGUAGUUUUAAUUUGAUGCUUUUAUUUUGAAGGCUUGUAAAGUAUGUAAAAUCUUGAUAGAUUAAAUUAAGAAGACAUAAUAUUGCAAAUAAU